This 1254-nucleotide long non-coding RNA is filed under the name Homo sapiens (human). Its description in RNAcentral is "HSALNT0214245". The record is from RNAcentral. Lineage: Eukaryota; Metazoa; Chordata; Mammalia; Primates; Hominidae.
GCAAGGUAAGAGUGAACACUGGCUUCUUAAAUUUCCAGUCCCUCAGCAGUUCAAAGCAGAGCCAGCUGUCUUGCUGACAUAAAUCCUGUCAAAGGGAUCGAAGAUGGAGUUUUGCCAUGUUGCCCAGGCUGAUCUGGAACUCCUGCAGUGAAGCGAUCCACCCACCUCGGCCUCCCAAAGUGCUGAGCCACAGUGCCCGACCUGUUCCUAUUCCGGAGGCAUAAUAUGUAGUACACAGAAAAGCUGGAGGGCGAGUGGAAAGAACGAGACAUUUGAAAUCUGAACAAAAAAGAUCUGUUGUGCACAUAUCCUACCAAAUUUCCAGAGGAAGAUGAAAACCAGAGGAAGAUGAAGAGCCUCAAUCCCUACUCUAUACAAAGCUAAAUAUAUAUUUUAUUUGAACACCAAGAUGGUUAAUAUUUCAGGUUCGAUCUCUAUAUUUAACCAUUUUGGAUCUGAACAGACAGAGAAAGUAAUUAGUUGUCCAAAAAGUACACCAUAUCAAUAGGUGCAUAUAUCAGAAAAAGUUCCUCGGUUAUAGGCAUCAGAAAAUGACUCUGAAAAAGUCAGACAACAUAUAAUUUAUUACAAUAUCAAAGGAGGUUCACAGAAUCAACUGAAAACAGAAAGUCAACUUGGAAAUGAGGAGAUACCAAAGCAGAGCUGAAGACUGGAAGCUGCAGCUGUAAAAAAAUUGUGCCGUUGGAAAGCAAAACGGCAAUACAACUGCAAAGCAUUGUUCAAGGUCACCAUGGGUGCAUGCAUUUGCAAUGUAAUGGAAUAUGCAAUUAUUCAUAAAAUGAGUUCAUCAGUUAUGAAAAAUGAAAAAGUCCAAAUAAAUAUAUGCUCGGUGUUUUAAGCAUUCAAUACUCUAAAGCCAGAAGCCAGAGGGAGUGCUUGAGUAAAGGGAAGCGCAAACUACUGAUGGUGAAAAGCUUGCAAGAAAGUAGACGAAAAAAGCAUUUAAGAGAAAAUAUAGCACAAAAUGGAGCAAUUUUGUGAAGAGCCAAAUGAGACUGUCUUAUCUAUGCCAAUAGUUUUCCAUGAUUAUAUUUAAAUCUUAAUAUGAUAAUUGCAUAACUAUGGUCAUGGAAAAUAAAAAGAUCAACCUUUUGUCAUGUUCAAACCAAACCAUCAAUUGCUUUCUUUAAAAAUAAAUACAUAAAAAGGUUUUCAUAAAAUGGUGUCUCUAAAAGGGCUGAGAAAUUUAAUUCUGCAAAAUAUUUAUUUCUUGUUGAUGCUGGAUGAGGAAGA